UCUUGAGCAUCGAAAGGUCUCCAUCAGAGCCAACUCUACUCAGAACUUGCUUGCAGAUUUUUCUUCGGGAGGAUGCGUCACUGCUUCAGCCUUAUCUGACCAUGGUCUAGAUUUCAGCGAUAAUAGAUUGACACUAGAAGAAGAGCCCGGACCUCAUUGUAAGAAAGAGUAUCAAACAAAGAUUAUGGCAUCACGAAGAGCGUCCACCCGAAGAUCUAGCACUGUUGCCGUCUCUCAGCCAGUGGAAAACACGAUGGGCCAGCAAGUUCUGACGCAGCCACAAUCGAAAGUUCAGCAACCACCUCCUCCAUAGAUGGCGACUGUCAGUACAAAACAGUUUCAUUUACUAUUCCAACAAGUUCAAACUUUGACCACUGCCGUCUAGACAAUGCAGCAACUGUACACUGUACCCUUGGCAAUGACACCUGCAAUGGCAGCUACAAUCACACUGCCACCAGCUAGCGUAGUAUCAAUGGUGGAUCCACCUUCAGUAAUUCUCCCACAACAGCCUGCGACAGCUUUGCAAGUGAGACCUCUGCUCCCUCCUCGAAGUCCUAAGCGAGGGAGACGGACUCAUUAUAGCCGACCUUGGACUCCAGGACCUAGAAGAUGAUGAUCACUAAGUCCUCAUUCUAGGUAAGAUUCAGGGCCCGAUCGACGAUCCCCUCAGCAACUUUUUUACUUCCUCGAACUUCAUC
Molecule: long non-coding RNA, 698 nt
Filed under: Elaeis guineensis (African oil palm)
Lineage: Eukaryota; Viridiplantae; Streptophyta; Magnoliopsida; Arecales; Arecaceae
Description: long non-coding RNA (EGUI_LNC054741)
Source: RNAcentral